AGUCGCGUGGUCUAAUGGUUAUGAUUUCUCGUUCACAUCGGACUGACGCACUUCCAAGUGCUAGGUCAAGUGCCGAGAAGGCUCCCGGUUCGAUCCCGGGCGCGACUA
Molecule: non-coding RNA, 108 nt
Organism: Aspergillus homomorphus CBS 101889
Lineage: Eukaryota; Fungi; Ascomycota; Eurotiomycetes; Eurotiales; Aspergillaceae
Source: the annotation of a RefSeq genome assembly